GUGUCAGCAGCCGCGGUAAUACGGAGGGUGCAAGCGUUGCUCGGAAUUAUUGGGCGUAAAGGGUAGGUAGGUGGUCUCGUUUGUCUGGGGUGAAAUCCCUGAGCUUAACUCAGGAAGUGCCUCGAAAACGGCGAGACUAGAGUUCUGGAGAGGAUAGCGGAAUUCCCGGUGUAGCGGUGAAAUGCGUAGAGAUCGGGAGGAACACCAGCGGCGAAAGCGGCUAUCUGGACAGAUACUGACACUCAACUACGAAAGCAUGGGGAGCAAACAGGAUUAGAUACCCUCGUAGUCC
RNAcentral lists this ribosomal RNA (292 nucleotides) under uncultured bacterium. Its description in RNAcentral is "partial 16S ribosomal RNA". It matches the Rfam family "Bacterial small subunit ribosomal RNA", at positions 505 to 796 of the family's 1533-position model. The record is from RNAcentral.